GACGUAGGGGGCAAGCGUUAUUCGGAAUUAUUGGGCGUAAAGCGCUCGUAGGCGGGACUGGAAGUCCGUGUUGAAAGACCUCGGCUCAACUGAGGGACCGGCUCGGAUACUCUAGUUCUUGAGGCAAUCAGAGGGUGAUGGAAUUCCCGGUGUAGCGGUGAAAUGCGUAGAUAUCCGGAGGAACACCAAAGGCGAAGGCAGUGUCCUGGGGAGUACCUGACGCUCAGGUGCGAAAGCCAGGGGAGCGAACGGG
Molecule: ribosomal RNA, 253 nt
Filed under: uncultured bacterium
Lineage: Bacteria
Description: partial 16S ribosomal RNA
Rfam family: Bacterial small subunit ribosomal RNA
Source: RNAcentral